UUGUACAUUUACAUGUUUGUCUGUACAAUAAAUAUGUUCAUAAUUGCAAGGAAGUCUCUCCUGAUUGAAAUGGUGGCGAGGUUCCUCAAGCAGUUCCCUGCCAUCCAGGCAGCUGCCAUGGACGCUCGGUUAAAGAGGGCAAUGGAGAAGGACAGACUGGAGCGAGUUACUGAUGAUGACUUCAGAAAAGCAGAGGAGUUUGUUAAAGUCAUGAAGCUACUGUAUACUUCAACACUUUGCAUGUCCGCUGAAAGAAUUCCAACAUUGGGUCAGAUUCUGCCCAUCUUGGGAUGAGUGCAUUCAGCAGUUUUUAGAGGAAAGCAGGGCCUUAGACCCAAGAUUUAAGUCAAGAGCAGUGUGGGGCAGAGUAGAGGAGGAGCUGAUUAGUAGGGCCACACGUCAGAAUAAAGGUGAAAGGACCCAGGCCCAGCAGCCCGAAGAAGACAAUGAAGAGGCAAAGCGGGCAAAGCUUUGUGCCCUUGAGGAGAUUU
This is a long non-coding RNA of Perca flavescens (yellow perch), 491 nucleotides long. RefSeq lists it as uncharacterized. NCBI's taxonomy places the organism in Eukaryota, Metazoa, Chordata, Actinopteri, Perciformes, Percidae. The record is from RefSeq and is a predicted model, not a curated record. The transcript is spliced from 5 exons.